AUCCCGGUAGCGCAAUGAUAACGCAUUAGUCUUUCAAUCCAAGGGUCGUGGGUUUCAAUCCUACCUGGGAUG
Molecule: non-coding RNA, 72 nt
Organism: Trichonephila clavipes
Lineage: Eukaryota; Metazoa; Arthropoda; Arachnida; Araneae; Nephilidae
Source: the annotation of a GenBank genome assembly